This 253-nucleotide ribosomal RNA is filed under the name uncultured bacterium. Its description in RNAcentral is "partial 16S ribosomal RNA". It matches the Rfam family "Bacterial small subunit ribosomal RNA", at positions 524 to 776 of the family's 1533-position model. The record is from RNAcentral.
UACGGAGGGGGCUAGCGUUGUUCGGAAUUACUGGGCGUAAAGCGCACGUAGGCGGCUUUGCAAGUUAGAGGUGAAAGCCCGGGGCUCAACUCCGGAAUUGCCUUUAAAACUGCAUCGCUAGAAUUGUGGAGAGGUAAGUGGAAUUCCGAGUGUAGAGGUGAAAUUCGUAGAUAUUCGGAAGAACACCAGUGGCGAAGGCGACUUACUGGACACAUAUUGACGCUCAGGCACGAAAGCAUGGGGAUCAAACAGG